This 528-nucleotide ribosomal RNA is filed under the name uncultured archaeon. Its description in RNAcentral is "bacterial SSU rRNA". It matches the Rfam family "Bacterial small subunit ribosomal RNA", at positions 509 to 1050 of the family's 1533-position model. The record is from RNAcentral.
CAGCCGCCGCGGUAAUACAUAGGGGGCAAGCGUUAUCCGGAAUUAUUGGGCGUAAAGGGUGCGUAGGCGGUUUAAUAAGUUUAAGGUAUAAGCUCAAGGCUCAACCUUGGGAGGCUUUAGAAACUGUUAAGCUAGAGUGCAGUAGAGGCAAGUGGAAUUCCAUGUGUAGCGGUAAAAUGCGUAAAUAUAUGGAGGAACACCAGUGGCGAAGGCGGCUUGCUGGGCUGUUGCUGACGCUGAGGCACGAAAGCGUGGGGAGCAAACAGGAUUAGAUACCCUGGUAGUCCACGCCGUAAACGAUGAGUACUAAGUGUUGGGAGAUCAGUGCUGAAGGAAACCUAAUAAGUACUCCGCCUGAGUAGUACGUGCGCAAGCAUGAAACUCAAAGGAAUUGACGGGACCCCGCACAAGCGGUGGAUCAUGUUGUUUAAUUCGAGGAUACGCGAAGAACCUUACCAGGUCUUGACAUCCUCUGCAAAGCUAUAGAGAUAUAGUGGAGGUUAACAGAGAGACAGGUGGUGCAUGGCC